CGGCAACAGCUCAAAUUUGAAAUCUGGCGCAAGCCCGAGUUGUAAUUUGUAGAAGUGUUUUCCGUGCUGGACCAUGUCCAAGUCCCUUGGAACAGGGUAUCAAAGAGGGUGACAAUCCCGUACUUGACAUGACCACCAGUGCUCUGUGAUACACUUUCUAC
RNAcentral lists this ribosomal RNA (161 nucleotides) under Trichosporonaceae sp. RNAcentral describes it as "partial large subunit ribosomal RNA". It matches the Rfam family "Eukaryotic large subunit ribosomal RNA", at positions 99 to 261 of the family's 3401-position model. The record is from RNAcentral. Lineage: Eukaryota; Fungi; Basidiomycota; Tremellomycetes; Trichosporonales; Trichosporonaceae.